UGGGGAAUAUUGGACAAUGGGGGCAACCCUGAUCCAGCCAUGCUGCGUGAGUGAAGAAGGCCCUCGGGUUGUAAAGCUCUUUUGUCCGGAAAGAAAAGCUUCGGGUUAAUACCCCGGGGUUCUGACGGUACCGGAAGAAUAAGCACCGGCUAACUUCGUGCCAGCAGCCGCGGUAAUACGAAGGGUGCAAGCGUUACUCGGAAUUACUGGGCGUAAAGCGUGCGUAGGUGGUUGUUUAAGUCUGAUGUGAAAGCCCUGGGCUCAACCUGGGAAUGGCAUUGGNAACUGGGCAGCUAGAGUGCGGUAGAGGGUAGUGGAAUUCGCGGUGUAGCAGUGAAAUGCGUAGAGAUCGGGAGGAACAUCUGUGGCGAAGGCGACUGCCUGGACCAGCACUGACACUGAGGCACGAAAGCGUGGGGAGCAAACA
Molecule: ribosomal RNA, 427 nt
Filed under: uncultured bacterium
Lineage: Bacteria
Description: bacterial SSU rRNA
Rfam family: Bacterial small subunit ribosomal RNA
Source: RNAcentral